This 500-nucleotide long non-coding RNA is filed under the name Salvator merianae (Argentine black and white tegu). RNAcentral describes it as "lncRNA (ENSSMRG00000001366.1)". The record is from RNAcentral. Lineage: Eukaryota; Metazoa; Chordata; Lepidosauria; Squamata; Teiidae.
CAUUUUUGCAGGAUGCGAUUUCACACCCUGAAUGAAGAUGCCGAGAUUGGCCACUGGAGACAGAGACGUGGAGGCNUCUUUUUCNGUGGCUGAUUGCGGUGCUCUCCUCACACGCCUGGAAACCAGAUGCCUUGCCAGGUCAUAAUUUAUGCAAAGGAACACAGAAAACUGUUAACAAGUUUGGCUCAAGUCUAUGUCAGAAAAUGAUCCAGAAGUGGAGUUAACAGGAGGACGAANUCAGAGCGAUAAGUAAAAAGAAGCAAAACCCUUGCCUGCAGACCAGUGGGCAAAUGACCAGGNUUGGAGAAAGAGCUGGAUCAGGAGUUGAAGAGCUGAAGAGUUGGGUCUGAAUCAGAGAAACUCUGGUUAUGUUGCUUCAACAAAAGUGGUUCUAACUGAGGCAACAACAAGGGCAGCAGCACGGGGAUCUGAUGGUUUUGAUGGCACAAAAAGUCGCAAUAGAAGGUUUAUGGAGAAGAAUGGUCUACCUAUGUGAACAU